This 268-nucleotide ribosomal RNA is filed under the name uncultured Oscillospiraceae bacterium. Its description in RNAcentral is "partial 16S ribosomal RNA". It matches the Rfam family "Bacterial small subunit ribosomal RNA", at positions 65 to 339 of the family's 1533-position model. The record is from RNAcentral. Lineage: Bacteria; Bacillati; Bacillota; Clostridia; Eubacteriales; Oscillospiraceae.
AAUGAAACCAGAUAUGACUUAGUGGCGGACGGGUGAGUAACACGUGAGCAACCUGCCCUUCAGAGGGGGGAUAACGGCUGGAAACGGUCGCUAAUACCGCAUGAUGUGUUCGGAUGGCAUCAUUUGAACAUCAAAGAUUUAUCGCUGAAAGAUGGGGCUCGCGUCUGAUUAGAUAGUUGGUGGGGUAACGGCCUACCAAGUCGACGAUCAGUAGCCGGACUGAGAGGUUGAACGGCCACAUUGGGACUGAGACACGGCCCCAAACUCC